Molecule: ribosomal RNA, 459 nt
Filed under: uncultured bacterium
Lineage: Bacteria
Description: partial 16S ribosomal RNA
Rfam family: Bacterial small subunit ribosomal RNA
Source: RNAcentral
CCUACGGGGUGCAGCAGUGAGGAAUAUUGGUCAAUGGCCGCAGGGCUGAACCAGCCAAGUCGCGUGAGGGAUGACGGUCCUAUGGAUUGUAAACCUCUUUUGUCAGGGAGCAAAAUGCCCCACGUGUCGGGUUUUGCGAGUACCUGAAGAAUAAGCAUCGGCUAACUCCGUGCCAGCAGCCGCGGUAAUACGGAGGAUGCGAGCGUUAUCCGGAUUUAUUGGGUUUAAAGGGUGCGUAGGCGGUAUGUUAAGUCAGCGGUAAAAUUUCGGGGCUCAACCCCGUGGUGCCGUUGAAACUGGAGUACUUGAGUGAGCAAGAAGUAGGCGGAAUGCGUGGUGUAGCGGUGAAAUGCAUAGAUAUCACGCAGAACUCCGAUUGCGAAGGCAGCAUACCGGCGCGCAACUGACGCUCAUGCACGAAAGCGUGGGUAUCGAACAGGAUUAGAUACCCGGGUAGUC